AAUCAACGCUGGCGGCGUGCCUCAGACAUGCAAGUCGAACGCGAAAUCCCGAGCAAUCGGGAGAGUAGAGUGGUGCACGGGUGAGUAACACGUAGGUAAUCUACCUUCGGAUGGGGAAUAACAACCGGAAACGGUUGCUAAUACCGCAUAAUGCAGCGGCACCUAAUGGUGACAGUUGUUAAAGCGGGGGAUCGAAAGACCUCGCGUCUGAAGAGGAGCCUGCGGCGGAUUAGCUAGUUGGUAAGGUAAUGGCUUACCAAGGCGACGAUCCGUAACCGGCCUGAGAGGGCGGUCGGUCACACUGACACUGACAUACGGGUCAGACUCCUACGGGAGGCAGCAGUCGGGAAUUUUGGGCAAUGGGCGAAAGCCUGACCCAGCAACGCCGCGUGAAGGAUGAAAUCCCUCGGGAU
RNAcentral lists this ribosomal RNA (413 nucleotides) under uncultured bacterium. RNAcentral describes it as "bacterial SSU rRNA". It matches the Rfam family "Bacterial small subunit ribosomal RNA", at positions 32 to 424 of the family's 1533-position model. The record is from RNAcentral.